CGAAACGAUGCACCCAGAUACACAUUCCCCAGACACCGGAGCUAUUCCUAUUGCUCCUGCUCCCCCAAACACCCCAAAUCCACACCAAAUAUCUGCUAUACCACAUCUGUAUAGCAGCCCUCACUGUCAUAAGCAGGAAGUGGAAACAAACAACCGCCCCAACGAUCCACCAAUGCAUUGAGGCGGUGGAAACGAACAAGGCUUAUGAAAAUGCAGCACGGAAAUCCAGACGGAGCGAACCCUU
This is a non-coding RNA of Pelobates cultripes (western spadefoot toad), 244 nucleotides long. The record is from the annotation of a GenBank genome assembly. Lineage: Eukaryota; Metazoa; Chordata; Amphibia; Anura; Pelobatidae.